RNAcentral lists this long non-coding RNA (1487 nucleotides) under Nicotiana benthamiana. RNAcentral describes it as "long non-coding RNA (NBEN_LNC006142)". Lineage: Eukaryota; Viridiplantae; Streptophyta; Magnoliopsida; Solanales; Solanaceae. The record is from RNAcentral.
GGUUUUGAGUUGCAAGUUUAAUUCUUUCAAAAGUACUAAUAGGUGGCAAGGAACAGAAACUUCAUUAGCCGCAACACAAUUGAUAGCAGAUUGAUCUUAUUGUAACAUACUUCACCUAGAGAAUCAAAAGGAACUGAAAACUUGUCAGAAAAUAGACUGAGGGAAUACUAUGUAUUGCAAAACUUCGACAUCUAUGGGAAGUAUGUAGGCAUAGUUGCAACUGAGGGCUAUAAAUGAUGUGUGUAGGCAUAGUUGCAACUGAGGGCUAUAAAUGAUGUUAUUAUUAAGCCAGAAAUUACAGACAACACCUUAGGAAAGACAGCUACAAUAGUCCAAAAAAAUUGUAGAAAAAUCCAACUCAUAUUUAAAACUUUUUCUGAGAUUCUCAGUAACAUACAGUUACUGAGAUGGUAAAACAGAGAAGAUGGCUAGAGUCAGCACAAAAAAUGAGUAAUGGAUCAGGAGAUGGAUUAAUAGGCAAAGAAUUAUCGAGAAAAGGCUUCCGACAGCAGACGACUAGGCUAGUCAGAAGAAUUGAAGCUCGAUCCAUUAAGCUCUAAUAUUCAAUGGUGGAUUCUGCACAAAUAGAUGGUGGCAGCAAGGCCCAAGUUUAUGAAAUGAAUGGACUACAAAUCAGGGAAUGGUCCGGAAAAAUCAAAUUAAAAAUCAGGGAAUUGAGAAAAGAGACAAAAAAUUAAAUUAGGGAAUGGUCCGGAGAGAAUAUGAUGUUUAAAUGGUGGACAGUGGUAGCUGGCUGUUCCCUAAGAUAGCUACAAACUAAAACGAGUAUGGAUAAAACUAUUUGGGCACAAAUCUAUGGGCGACAGUCAGUGAGAGCAGUGGCUGGUUGGAGAUAGACAAAGCAACUAGUUUGAAAACCAGCUCUGAUGGACUCGUCCGAGUGAUCAAGACACUCUUUAGAGAAUUCACAAGACGUCUUAGACAAGCUGGAGUAAAGUUUCUAUUUAGGCAGAGACCAACACAAGAACCGAAAUAGAAACAUAUACUAAACAAAGGACUGCUAAUCCUCACAAGGACAAUGUUAAGAAUCGAAAUAGAAACAUAUACUAAACAAAGGACUGCUAAUCCUCACCAGGACAAUGUAUAUAUCUCUGGAUUGGUCAAAAAGGAGUCAUUGGGGAUGAAUUACAGGUUGAUGUAAUUAGUUGCGGAACAAGGAGAUAGCACACCCGUUCUGGAAAGUUCCGUAAUUCAGAUUUGGUCAUUCAAAUGAGAGGUACUUACAUGGAAAAGGAGAAAAUGGUCAAGGACUUGCCAAAUGUAAGGUGGACCUGAAGACAUGAUCUACAAGAAUAAUAGGCCUACGGCAAGCACACAAGGAUGGUCUAAGAAGGUGCAAAACACAAAGUGAAGCCAGAGAAUUUCCUUUAUAGAUCCUCAUAGGUGGGCCUGUACGGAGGAGGGGUGGAUGUGUGGGCACACCAGGCUGGAUAAGAUUAAGAAUGAAGUUAUUCGUCAGAAGGUAG